ACGAACGCUGGCGGCAUGCCUAAUACAUGCAAGUCGAGCGAAUGAUGAAGAAGCUUGCUUCUUCUGAUUAGCGGCGGACGGGUGAGUAACACGUGGGCAACCUACCCUAUAGAUUGGGAUAACACAGGGAAACCUGUGCUAAUACCGAAUAAUACAUUUUCUUUCAUGAGAAGAUGUUGAAAGAUGGUUUCGGCUAUCACUAUAGGAUGGGCCCGCGGCGCAUUAGCUAGUUGGUGAGGUAAUGGCUCACCAAGGCAACGAUGCGUAGCCGACCUGAGAGGGUGAUCGGCCACACUGGGACUGAGACACGGCCCAGACUCCUACGGGAGGCAGCAGUAGGGAAUCUUCCACAAUGGGCGAAAGCCUGAUGGAGCAAUGCCGCGUGAGUGAUGAAGGAUUUCGGUUCGUAAAACUCUGUUGUAAGGGAAGAACAAGUAGCGUAGUAACUGGCGUUACCUUGACGGUACCUUAUUAGAAAGCCACGGCUAACUACGUGCCAGCAGCGGC
RNAcentral lists this ribosomal RNA (507 nucleotides) under uncultured bacterium. Its description in RNAcentral is "bacterial SSU rRNA". It matches the Rfam family "Bacterial small subunit ribosomal RNA", at positions 29 to 518 of the family's 1533-position model. The record is from RNAcentral.